This is a long non-coding RNA of Zea mays, 982 nucleotides long. RefSeq lists it as uncharacterized. The record is from RefSeq and is a predicted model, not a curated record. Lineage: Eukaryota; Viridiplantae; Streptophyta; Magnoliopsida; Poales; Poaceae. The transcript is spliced from 2 exons.
AAAUAACCCUGAUGCACACUCUAUCAAACACAAAGGAUACUAUAUACAAUUUAAAAGGAAAUACAUAAUAAAUUUAAGAUAUAUAUUAACAAAAUUUUACUUUACUUUGGUGCCUGUGCAUCUACAAGACUACAACUCAAGUUCAUCUUCCUACAACUCAUGUUCAUCUUCCUCUUCGGUCUUGAGGGCUCUCGGCUUGCCAUCUACAGGCUGUAGCUCUCCUGUUUCGUCUUCCUCUUUGUUCUCAACCUCCUUUGCCCUCUCAUCUCUCUCUUUGUCGUCUCCCCCUCUCCGAAUCGACGCAUCUCUAACCCUAAUUCCCUCUGCUGAGUCUUGGAGUUAGAUCUUCUUUCUCCUUUGGGGUUUGCUGUCAGCGGCCGACUAAUCGGCGACUUGGGAGCUCCGGCUGUACAAGUCGUCAAGGAGGCGGCACCGAGGAUGUCGGUCGACUUCGAGGUCCUCGUCAUGGAUCUUGAUCCAACAGUCGAGGUGGAAGAACACCGGCUCCAGACGUUUAACAGGAGGACGCUAAUACUUUGUUCGAUGUCGGUACCAGCAUCAACCUAGACAUGCCUAGGACGGAGACUGGCAUAGGCCCCACAAGACGUACCCCUACCGACUCUAUGGCCCCUACUGAUGUGGCUUGCACUGCUGCCAGUGAUGAUCGCGGUAGCAACAAAUCAAGGAAGAGGGCACCCAGAUCUAAAGUCUAGAACGACUUCGAGGAGCUAACUCAUGUCAUCAAUGGUAAGAGGGUCAGGUAUGGUUCCAUUUGCAAGUACUAUAAGCAGACUUUGAGUGCCAAAACUAGCUACGGUAUAGGCCACUUGCUCUGGCAUCUAAAGUGUAAACUAUCUGUGAACUGCUUGUGAUCUGUAUUUGAUUCUGAUUGUGAUCUGUAUUUGAGGAAAUUGUAUGUGUUUUGUGCCUAUUACUUGAACUGUAUGUAUUUGAGUAAUUCUGUAUGAAGUAUAUGUAUUCA